RNAcentral lists this ribosomal RNA (264 nucleotides) under uncultured bacterium. RNAcentral describes it as "partial 16S ribosomal RNA". It matches the Rfam family "Bacterial small subunit ribosomal RNA", at positions 90 to 354 of the family's 1533-position model. The record is from RNAcentral.
CUUUAGUGGCGGACGGGUGAGUAACGCGUGGGUAACCUGCCUUAUACAGGGGGAUAACACUUAGAAAUAGGUGCUAAUACCGCAUAAGCGCACGGGGCUGCAUGGCCCAGUGUGAAAAACUCCGGUGGUAUAAGAUGGACCCGCGUCUGAUUAGCUUGUUGGCGGGGUAACGGCCCACCAAGGCGACGAUCAGUAGCCGGCCUGAGAGGGUGGACGGCCACAUUGGGACUGAGACACGGCCCAAACUCCUACGGAAGGCAGCAG